This 252-nucleotide ribosomal RNA is filed under the name uncultured bacterium. RNAcentral describes it as "partial 16S ribosomal RNA". It matches the Rfam family "Bacterial small subunit ribosomal RNA", at positions 524 to 776 of the family's 1533-position model. The record is from RNAcentral.
UACGUAGGGUGUGAGCGUUAAUCGGAAUACUGGGCGUAAAGCGUGCGCAGGCGGUUCGUUGUGUCGGCGGUGAAAGCCCCGGGCUUAACCUGGGAAUGGCCGUUGAAACUGGCGAACUGGAGUGUGGCAGAGGGGGGUGGAAUUCCGCGUGUAGCAGUGAAAUGCGUAGAGAUGCGGAGGAACACCGAUGGCGAAGGCAGCCCCCUGGGCUAACACUGACGCUCAGGCACGAAAGCGUGGGGAGCAAACAGG